Mustela lutreola (European mink) is the source of this 679-nucleotide long non-coding RNA. RefSeq lists it as uncharacterized. The transcript has 3 exons. The record is from RefSeq and is a predicted model, not a curated record. NCBI's taxonomy places the organism in Eukaryota, Metazoa, Chordata, Mammalia, Carnivora, Mustelidae.
ACAGGUCAUUGUUACUGCAUUUUACAGAGAACCUUUAGGUUUUGAGUUUAAAGUGAUUUUAUUAAAUCUAAUGAUGGAAGUUCAGACCAUGGGAAGGAGAGAAAUCUGGGGACCCCAGGACUACCUAGGCCCCAUCAAAUGACACAGACGAGUAGGCACAUGUCUUUGACAGUACAAUUUCCAGUGGAAGGGGAUCCUUCCUUCAGGUUCCCGACAAGCGAAACCUCUCUCCAAGAGCCAGCUGGGGACAUGGAGUGAUGCCGUCCCCGAGUCCGGGGAGUUGCAGACCGCCAACAGCUGGGCUUACAACGAUUUAGAAGAAUCAGCAGAAAUGGACAAGCAUGCAAACAACAAAACUACCCGAGUGGACCUGAGGCCAUCAGCACCCAGGGCUCCUCUCCGCAGCGAUGGACAUGUCCCAUCCUCGGAGGGUGAGCAGCCGGGGAACUGAAGUUUACAUUUUGUUUCCUGUGAAUGAACUGAAAUGAAAAUAGCCACCAUGGCGAGCGGCUCCUUUAUGGGAGGGCACAGGUCUGUGCAGUGAGGUCCCCGGCGGGGGGUGGGCACAGACGAUGUGGGCACAGAUGUCAAGUUGUUGUUAUGUGGGGAGCAGCACUUUAUAAAACACUUUCCCUUGCAGUGAGAGCCAGGUUCUCGGAGCUUCUUGGGCUGGGCUGGG